CCUACGGGUGGCAGCAGUGGGGAAUAUUGGACAAUGGGCGCAAGCCUGAUCCAGCCAUGCCGCGUGUGUGAAGAAGGCCUUUUGGUUGUAAAGCACUUUAAGCGAGGAGGAGGCUACUGAGAUUAAUACUCUUGGAUAGUGGACGUUACUCGCAGAAUAAGCACCGGCUAACUCUGUGCCAGCAGCCGCGGUAAUACAGAGGGUGCGAGCGUUAAUCGGAUUUACUGGGCGUAAAGCGUGCGUAGGCGGCUUUUUAAGUCGGAUGUGAAAUCCCUGAGCUUAACUUAGGAAUUGCAUUCGAUACUGGGAAGCUAGAGUAUGGGAGAGGAUGGUAGAAUUCCAGGUGUAGCGGUGAAAUGCGUAGAGAUCUGGAGGAAUACCGAUGGCGAAGGCAGCCAUCUGGCCUAAUACUGACGCUGAGGUACGAAAGCAUGGGGAGCAAACAGGAUUAGAUACCCUAGUAGUC
Molecule: ribosomal RNA, 466 nt
Filed under: uncultured Acinetobacter sp.
Lineage: Bacteria; Pseudomonadati; Pseudomonadota; Gammaproteobacteria; Moraxellales; Moraxellaceae
Description: bacterial SSU rRNA
Rfam family: Bacterial small subunit ribosomal RNA
Source: RNAcentral